ACCACCUGAUCCCUUCCCGAACUCAGAAGUGAAACGACGCAUCGCCGAUGGUAGUGUGGGGUCUCCCCAUGUGAGAGUAGGUCAUCGUCAAGCU
Molecule: ribosomal RNA, 94 nt
Filed under: Acinetobacter baumannii
Lineage: Bacteria; Pseudomonadati; Pseudomonadota; Gammaproteobacteria; Moraxellales; Moraxellaceae
Source: RNAcentral